Molecule: ribosomal RNA, 261 nt
Filed under: uncultured prokaryote
Description: partial 16S ribosomal RNA
Rfam family: Bacterial small subunit ribosomal RNA
Source: RNAcentral
UACGGAGGAUCCGAGCGUUAUCCGGAUUUAUUGGGUUUAAAGGGUGCGUAGGCGGCUUUUUAAGUCAGCGGUGAAAUUUUGCAGCUUAACUGUAACAGUGCCGUUGAUACUGGGGAGCUAGGAUUUGGUUGCUGUGGGUGGAAUGUGUGGUGUAGCGGUGAAAUGCUUAGAUAUGACGCAGAACUCCGAUUGCGAAGGCAGCUUACUGGGAUGCAACUGACGCUGAGGCACGAAAGCGUGGGUAUCAAACAGGAUUAGAUA